AGAGUUUGAUCCUGGCUCAGGACGAACGCUGGCGGCGUGCUUAACACAUGCAAGUCGAGCGACAGCACUCUUCGGGGUGUAUGGAGCGGCGAACGGGUGAGUAACACGUGGGCAACCUGCCCUCAGCUCUGGGACAACUCCGGGAAACCGGGGCUAAUACCGGAUAUGACUGCUCCCGGCAUCGGGGGUGGUGGAAAGUUUUUCGGCUGAGGAUGGGCCCGCGGCCUAUCAGCUUGUUGGUGGGGUGAUGGCCUACCAAGGCGACGACGGGUAGCCGGCCUGAGAGGGCGACCGGCCACACUGGGACUGAGACACGGCCCAGACUCCUACGGGAGGCAGCAGUGGGGAAUAUUGCGCAAUGGGCGGAAGCCUGACGCAGCGACGCCGCGUGAGGGAUGAAGGCCUUCGGGUUGUAAACCUCUUUCAGCAGGGACGAAGCGAGAGUGACGGUACCUGCAGAAGAAGCACCGGCCAACUACGUGCCAGCAGCCGCGGUAAUACGUAGGGUGCAAGCGUUGUCCGGAAUUAUUGGGCGUAAAGAGCUCGUAGGCGGUCUGUCGCGUCGGCUGUGAAAACUCGGGGCUCAACUCCGAGCCUGCAGUCGAUACGGGCAGACUUGAGUGCUGUAGGGGAGACUGGAAUUCCUGGUGUAGCGGUGAAAUGCGCAGAUAUCAGGAGGAACACCGGUGGCGAAGGCGGGUCUCUGGGCAGUAACUGACGCUGAGGAGCGAAAGCGUGGGGAGCGAACAGGAUUAGAUACCCUAGUAGUCC
This 771-nucleotide ribosomal RNA is filed under the name uncultured bacterium. Its description in RNAcentral is "bacterial SSU rRNA". It matches the Rfam family "Bacterial small subunit ribosomal RNA", at positions 8 to 796 of the family's 1533-position model. The record is from RNAcentral.